RNAcentral lists this small RNA (366 nucleotides) under Pan troglodytes (chimpanzee). Its description in RNAcentral is "processed transcript". The record is from RNAcentral. Lineage: Eukaryota; Metazoa; Chordata; Mammalia; Primates; Hominidae.
GUGGAUCUGGAGCAUGAGUGGACAAUCCCCAGCCACAUGCCCUUCUCCAAGGCCCACUGGACACCUUUUGAAGGGCAGAAAGUGAAGGGCACCAUCCGCCGUGUGGUCUUGCGAGGGGAGGUUGCCUAUAUCGAUGGGCAGGUUCUGGUACCCCCGGGCUAUGGACAGGAUGUACGGAAGUGGCCACAGGGGGCUGUUCCUCAGCUCCCACCCUCAGCCCCUGCCACCAGUGAGAUGACCACGCCAGGCGUGGUGGUGCACAUCUGUAAUCCCAGCUACUUGGGAGGCUGAGGCAGGAGAAUUGCUUGAACCCAGAAGGUCACGCCACUGCACUCCAGCCUGAGCGACAGAACAAGACUCCAUCUC